This is a long non-coding RNA of Myxocyprinus asiaticus (Chinese sucker), 1234 nucleotides long. RefSeq lists it as uncharacterized. The transcript has 3 exons. NCBI's taxonomy places the organism in Eukaryota, Metazoa, Chordata, Actinopteri, Cypriniformes, Catostomidae. The record is from RefSeq and is a predicted model, not a curated record.
UAACCCAGAAAACUAUCUUUCCAUAUUUAUUAGGAGCAAAGCAGCAGGUGGGGAAGAUGGUGUGUGGAUGAAACCCUGAAAACAGACACGUAUUGAUGCUCACAGGCCAGAGGGGAACAAUGUGGAAAUUUUAGAAGCGACUAGGCCACACAAAAGAAACACACACAAGCAGAGUCUAAUGCAACAGUGAAAGGAGCAUGGAGAAUCAGUUAGAGGCUGCGUUACCACACGCUCACAAAUUUAAAGCAUGGAUUAUCGGACGAGAGACAGGGAUGAGGAACUCCAACUUGGAUGCUGCUUGAUACUUGCUUUGUGUUAAUCAGAACUCAGGGGAGAGUGAGCGCUGUGACGGCAAUGAUGAAGAAAGAGAGACCGGUGGAUCCGUGACAAAAGGUUACCAGAGUCAGCCAGAUCCAGCUCCAUUCCUGCUUGGUGUCAGACUCCACUGCUACGUGUUGUUGACAAACUACAGCCGGUGCUAGCCAGACAUCACUUCAUUCUUUUGACUUCAAAGGAUGAACUGAUGCCAACUCCAACUGUAAGACAUCGGAUACUUCAUAUGCCACUGCCUGAACCUUGGCCUUAGGAUGGACCCCACCGAUCCUCACCGAAAUGACCUGCCAUUUGAACUGCGAUGCACCUCACUGAUCUCUGCCUGCAUCACCUUUGUCUAUUGAUGAACUACAAUCUUGAAAUGGAAUAAAUAGACUAUAAUUUAAUUGCCAACAAAAGCCUUCAUCAGCCAACUAACAAAGGACAAUGCAUCUAUGUGAACUUCUGCAGUUAAUUCAGGAUGAACUUCAAAAACAUUAGUCAAUCUUACAGUUAAUAAAAAAUAUUUUUUUAAACACUGGACCUUAAUGCUCAAUGUACAAAUUUUAAACCAUGACUUGCACUGCACACAAAUAACUAGUACUGGCAAUAAAUUCAUGUUGUUUAGCCAGAGGGGAACUGGCCCCCACAGUGAGCCUGGUUUCUCCCAAGGUUAUUUUUCUCUAUUAACCAAUAUCUUAUGGAGUUUUGUGUUCAGCUUGCUCACAGAGGUUCUAAAUACAAUUAUUAUUUAAUUUCUAUACACAAUUUACAAUCAUAUUUAAUCAAACUACACAAUGAUCACUCCAAGACAUUAGAUAUUAUAGUUUCAUUUUUUGUUAAUGCAUGAUUUCCUGUAAAGCUACUUUGAAACGAUGUGUGUUGUGAAAAGCGCUAUACAAAUAAAAAUGACUUAAUUACU